CAGUCGCCGCGGUAAUACGUAGGGUGCAAGCGUUAAUCGGAAUUACUGGGCGUAAAGCGUGCGCAGGCGGUUAUAUAAGACAGAUGUGAAAUCCCCGGGCUCAACCUGGGAACUGCAUUUGUGACUGUAUAGCUAGAGUACGGCAGAGGGGGAUGGAAUUCUGCGUGUAGCAGUGAAAUGCGUAGAUAUGCGGAGGAACACCGAUGGCGAAGGCAAUCCCCUGGGCCUGUACUGACGCUCAUGCACGAAAGCGUGGGGAGCAAACAGGAUUAGAUACCCCUGUAGUCCCUGUCUCUUAUAC
Molecule: ribosomal RNA, 301 nt
Filed under: uncultured bacterium
Lineage: Bacteria
Description: partial 16S ribosomal RNA
Rfam family: Bacterial small subunit ribosomal RNA
Source: RNAcentral